RNAcentral lists this small RNA (813 nucleotides) under Pongo abelii (Sumatran orangutan). RNAcentral's name for it is "processed transcript". The record is from RNAcentral. Lineage: Eukaryota; Metazoa; Chordata; Mammalia; Primates; Hominidae.
CCAUUUCCUCCUCAUCUGUAUAUAGGGCUACCAAAGCUACCUUCCUCAUAAGGUUAUGUGAGGACCAAGUGAAGUGAUACCAGCAGAGACCUAGCACAGCCCUGGGCACAUGAUAGGAGGAGAGGUGACAUGUCUCACUCUGAGCAGCUUGGGAAUUCAGAUGUGCAGUGAGGAGAAUGGAGGAGCCUGGCGCAUUUUGGACUGUGGCUCUCCUGACAUUGAAGUCCACACCUAUCCCUUCGGAUGGUACCAGAAGCCCAUUGCUCAAAAUAAUGCUCCCAGUUUUUGCCCUUCGGUUGUUCUGCCUUCCCUCACAGAGAAAGUGUCUUUGGACUUGUGGCAGUCCCUGGCCCUCUCUUCGGUGGCUGUUGAUCCAUCCAUUAGGCACUUUGAUGUUGCCCAUGUCAGCACUGCUGCCACCAGCAAUUUCUCUGCUGUCCAAGACCUCUGUUUGUCGGAAUGUUCCCAACAUGAGGCCUGUCUCAUCACCACUCUGCAAACCCAACCUGGGGCUGUGAGAUGUAUGUUCUAUGCUGAUACUCAAAGCUGCACACAUAGUCUGCAGGGCCAGAACUGCCGACUUCUGCUUCGUGAAGAGGCCACCCACAUCUACCGGAAGCCAGGAAUCUCUCUGCUUAGCUAUGAGGCAUCUGUACCUUCUGUGCCCAUUUCUACCCAUGGCCAGCUGCUGGGCAGGUCCCAGGCCAUCCAUGUGGGUACCUCAUGGAAGCGAGUGGACCAGUUCCUUGGAGUUCCAUAUGCUGCCCCGCCCCUGGCAGAGAGGCGCUUCCAGGCACCAGAGCCCUUGAACUG